GAUACACAAUCUGCAAAUAUUUUCACCCAUUCUAUGGGUUGUUUCACUUGAUCAAACAAAGUACAAAAUUUUUUAAGUUUGAUGACGUCCAACUUACUCUUCAUUGGUUGCUUGUAUUUUGGUGCCAUACCUAAGAAACUAUUGCCUGCAAUGAGGUCAUAAAGAUUGACCCUGUGUUUUUCAUUUAGCUUCUAUGAGUUUUUCUGUCUUAGAUCCAAUUCAGAGUUAAUUUUUGAAUCAGAAUAUGCUCUGUAACAAGAUGCCAGAUGAUUUGUAUGCACAAUAAAAUUAAGAAGCACUGAUUUAAAUUACUAGUAAAUUCUUAUUUCCUUGCCUUACAAUCAUUUCAGAAGCUUUAAAAAAUUAUGACUAGGAGUUGCUGUUGUAAGCUCAGUGGUAACAAACCCAACUAGUGUCCAUGAGGAUGUGGGUUUGAUCCCUGGGUUGAAGGAGCUGGCGUUGCUGUGAGCUGUGGUAUAGGUCGCAGACGUGGCUAAAAUCCCACAUUGCUGUGGCUAUGGAGUGGACUGGUGGCUACAGCUCUGAUUCGACCCCUGGUCUGGGAACUUCCAUAUGCCAAGGUUGUAGCCCUAAAAGACCAAAAAAAAAAGCACAAAGUUAUGCCUGAGCCUUACAGAUAAAACAAUUUUACUUAGCCUGAGCUUUUUGUUUGUUUGUUUAACCUUUUUAGUUGACUUGGAUUUACAUUUUAUCAUCUGGCUAUCAUGUCUGAGGCAUUUAAUUUGUCCCCCUGCCCCUUUUUUUUCUCUUUAAGGCCAUAACAGCAGCAUAUGGAAGUUCCCAGGCUAGGGGUUGAAUUGGAGCUGCAGCUGCUGGCCUACAUCACAGCCACAGCCACACCAGAUCUGAGCAACCUACACCACAGCUAGCAGCAACGCUAGAUCCGUAACCCAUUGAGCGAGGCCUGGGAUUGAACCCGCAUCUUCAUGGAGACUAGCCAGCUUCUUAACCCUCGAGCCACAAUGGGAACUCCUGUCUACCCCCUCCCCCUUUUUUUUCUCAAAAGAGAGGGAUGGAAAUAGGUAAAACACACUCCUGUCUUCUCUUUGGAAAUCCAGAGUCAUAGAAGAAAUUCAAAUGCAUCAAUGACCCACAGACCUAAAUUCAUAAAAAUCUUGAACAUGAGGCAAAAAACUUUCAUGACCCUGGAUUUGGCAGUGAAUUGUUAUAUAUGGCACCAAAACCACGAGUGACAUCAGAAAAAAAGACAUAUUUGACAGCAUCAAAAUUUAAAACUUUUGUGCAAAGAGCACUAUCAACAAAGUGAAAAAAUAACCUGUAACUGAAAGGGUUUUAUGUCCAGAACGUAUAAAGAACUCCUACAAUUCAACAACAAAAAUUUUCAAAAGGCAAGGGACUUGAAAUUUCUCCAAAGACAUACAAACAGCCAAGAAAACACACUCAUCACCAAGAUGGCUGUAAUUUUUGUGUGUGUGUCUUUUUGCCUUUCCUAGGGCCACACCCACGGCAUAUGGAGGUUCCCAGGCUAGAGGUCUAAUUGGAGCUGUAGACACCAGCCUACACCACAGCCACAGCAACUCAUGAUCCAAGCCAGGUCUGCAACCUACACCACAGCUCAUGGCAACACCAGAUCCUUAACCCUCUGAGCAAAGCCAGGAAUCGAACCCACAACCUCAUGGCUCCUAGUCAAGAUUCGUUAAUCAGUGAGCCAUGAUGGGAACUCCGGAUGGCUAUAAUUUAAAACAGAAGAUAAGGAGUGUUGCCAAGGAUGUAGAGAAAAUUGGAACCCAUACAUUGCCGAUGGGAAUGUAAAACAGUGCAACUGGUGUGGAAAAUAAGCACUUCCUCCAAAAGUUAAAAAUAGAUUUACUAGGAGUUCCCGUUAAUGGCUCAGUAGGUUAUGAACCCAACUAACAUCCACGAGGACGUGGAUUCAAUCCCUGGCCUAGCUCAGCAGGUUAAGGAUCUGGCAUUGCCUUUAGCUGUGGUGUAGGCCAGCAGCUGCAGCUCCGAUUCAACCCCUAGCCUGAGAACUUCCAUAUGCCACAAGCCCCUUAAAAAAAAAAUUACCUUAUGACCCAACAAUUCCACUCUAGGUAUGAAUCCAAAUGAAUUAAAAACAGUAACUCUAAUUCUUAUACACUAAUGUUACGGCAGCAUUAUUCACAAUAUCUAAAGGAUGUAAGUGUCCAUCAACCAAUGAAAUGAAGAAAAUGUGGUAAUUAUUACUCAGUCUCAGUCAUGAAAGGGGAAAAAGUGCUGAAUGAUGAAAAAAAUGCUCCAACAUAAAUGAUCCUUGGAAACAUGCUAAGAAGCCUGACACAAAAGGUCACAUAAAGGCACAUCUCAUUAUGCUUCAAAAAUACUACAUUUAUGGAGUCCCCACUGUGGCACAGUGGGUUAAGGAUCUGGCAUUGUCUCAGUAGCAGCUCAGGUUGUUGCCGAGGCAUGGGUUCGAUUCCCAGUCCAGCACAGUGGGUUAAGGAUCUGGUGUUGCCACANUCUUUUUUUUUUUUUUUUUUAAACAAACUGUAGAUCUGUAGCAACCCUGGGUUGAGAAAGUCUUUCAGAGCCAUUUUUCCGACAGCAUUCACUUCGUGUCUCUGAAUCACAUUUACUUAACUCUUCACAUUUUUCAAAUAUUUUCAGCAUUACAGUAUUUGUUAUGAUGAUCUGUCAUUAACGGUCUUUGAUGCUAUUAUGAUAAAUGCAAAUGUGGCGGGAAAUAGCAAAAGAACUAAAAUUAGAAGCCAAGCCUGAAGAUGUGACUGAACUGCUGCAAUCUCCUGAUAAAACUUAAAUGAAUUAAGUAGCUGCUUUUUAUGGAUGAGCAAAAAAAAAGUGGUUUAAGAUGAAAUCUAUGUAGUCCUGGUGAAGAAGCUGUGAAGACUGGAGAAGUGACAACAACGGGUUUAGAAUAUCACAUAAACUUAGUUGAGAAAGCAGUGGCAGGGUUUGAGAGGUCUGAUUCCAAUUUUGAAAGACGUGCCUGCUACAGAGAAAUCAUUUGUGGAAGGAAGAGUCAAUCAGUGUGGCAAACUUCAUUGUUGUCUUAUUUUAAGAAACUUUGACAGCAACCACUACCCUAAUCAGUCAGCAGACACAAACAUCGAGGCAGGACCCUCUAUCAGGAAAAAGAUUACAAUUCAUUGAAGGUGCAGAUGACAGUUAGCAUAUUUUAGCAAUGAAGUAUUUUAAUUAAGGUAUAUACAUUGUUUAAGACAAAAUACUACUGCACACUUAAUAGACUACAUUAUAGUGUAAGUAUAACUUAUAUAUGCAUUGGAAAACCAAAAACUUCAUGUGACUUGCUUUCUUGUGAUAUUAGGUUUAUUAAGGUGCUCUGGAGCUGAAUCCAUACUAUCUCUGAGGUAUGCCUGUACUACAAAAACUAGAAUGUAUGCUUCGUGUGGACAGACUGCCAAAGAAAAGGGGAUCAGUUUGUAGUACUGUUCCUUCUACAAUAUUCAAUAAGGAGUACAGUCAUUACUUUCCCCUUGAAAAAGAAGAACAGAAAUGAGCUCCUCCGAUAUUUUUUCCCCCCUCCUGGGAUCAGACUGUGUGACUGAUGAUCACCAAUUCUGUGACAUUCUACCCAUCAAGCAGUUGGGCCUAGGACCCUUAAAUCUGGGCAAGACUGCUAGACCAUUAGAAUACAGGAGAAAUGACACUGGGCCAGUGUGGAGGCCACAUCUUAAAAAACUGACAGCUUUUAUUUUUCUUAAAAUACUUGCUCUUUAAAACCAUCUACCAUCUUGUGGGGAAGCACAAGCAGCCCCAUAGAAAAGUACAUGCGGAGAGGAACUGAGACUCCAACUGCACUCCCGGAUGAAAGUCAUGUAUUAGUUAAAUGGCUAUGUGAAUAAGCCCUCUCGAAAUUCUCCAGACCCAGCCAAGUUGCUCCAGCAGUACUCAGCAAUCCUUGCCAAACUGCUCAUUCAUGAAUAAAAUUAAUGGCCAAUUCUUGUUCUCAGCCCCUAAGCUGUGGGGUAGCUUGUUAAAAGCAUGAGAUAACCACAAACAGCAGAAAUUCCCUUCCCUCCCUAAAAAUUAUAAGGGGUGGAGAAUGAGUCUAAAUAGGUUUUUUAAAAAAUCUAGCUUGAACAUACAGUGACAACUACAUACAUAGGCCAUUAAAGAAUUAGGCCCCGUAUUAGGUGUGGUCUUCCGAGGCAAUCUAUACAGGGAGCUCCCAUAUAUGCCUAGUUCUGUUCUAAGCCUAAAGUGUAGUAAGCAAGACAGAUUGGGUUGUAGAUCUAGAACAGGUUACAUUACAAUUAGGGAGUCUUAAGGCACAAAUAUUAACAUGUAUAAACUGGAAUUAUAAAGUGCGGAUGUGUUUUGUCACUAUCUGGAAAAAAAAUCUCAGUCUUAUUCUAUUCAAUCUGACCAAAGCAAAGAUGUUGGGAGGGGGUGCUUUUCCUCCAUUUCCAAAAGGGCUGACCACAAAAAAAGUAGUUCCGAUGGGCUGGGAAGGUAUCUAUCACUCCUACUGACGAGGAAAGGCAGCUAGGGAUCAAGGUGAGGAAAACGAUGCCUGGAAAGACAAAGAAACCCUCUCCCUCACACUUUAGCUCAUGUAACAAAAUUUGCCUGCUUAUCUAGAUCUAUCAAACCUAUUCUGUAGAUCAAAGGUGGUAAAAUGUCUUUCUCUUUGUAGUUUUUGGUAGAAAACAAUUACCCCAGACUCUCCCCCUAAAGCAAGUCCUCCUGCCACACACAAACAACACGCUCAAGUAUUUCCCAUCUUCAAAGAACACAAAAGGCAAAAACUUCCUCUACACUGCCACAGCUACUGCCCCCCUUUCUCCGAUUCUCUUUGGGCAACCUGGUAUUGUCUAGGUUCACUCUAAUGAGAAUUUUAACCUUAUCACCCUUUAAAACCCCAUUAUUGUCAUAAAGGUCCUUCCCUUCAGUAAAUCCAUAGGUUAAUAUUUGAUCUGUGAUGAAUACUUGAAGCAACAGCAUUUAACAGAGUUCAUUUACCAUCUUUCUCCUUGUGAAGUUUCUAUUUCUACACUGGCUUUCACUCUACCUGUCCAUGUCCUUUGCUGGUUUCCUCUCAUCUCUCUGCAAAGAAAGUUAGUGUUGAACUAGGGCUCAACCUUCCCAAAGUGUCUUUAUCCAACACUGUCUAAAAUUUCUCUGGUCAGGAUUUCUCAACCUUGGCACUAGGCUGAGAUAAAGCUUUGUCAUGGGAGCCUGCUCU
RNAcentral lists this long non-coding RNA (5191 nucleotides) under Sus scrofa (pig). Its description in RNAcentral is "lncRNA (ENSSSCG00040015080.1)". The record is from RNAcentral. Lineage: Eukaryota; Metazoa; Chordata; Mammalia; Artiodactyla; Suidae.